Podarcis lilfordi (Lilford's wall lizard) is the source of this 67-nucleotide non-coding RNA. Lineage: Eukaryota; Metazoa; Chordata; Lepidosauria; Squamata; Lacertidae. The record is from the annotation of a GenBank genome assembly.
ACAUGACUAAUUCAGUUGGUAGAGCAUGAGGCUCUCAGGGUCGUGGGUUCGAGCCCCACGUUGUGCA